Molecule: long non-coding RNA, 223 nt
Filed under: Carica papaya (papaya)
Lineage: Eukaryota; Viridiplantae; Streptophyta; Magnoliopsida; Brassicales; Caricaceae
Description: long non-coding RNA (CPAP_LNC003004)
Source: RNAcentral
CCAGCCUAGGAAAAAAAUGACACUAGAAUAUGCUAGAAACCCAAAGGGUAAUGGGCCUCACAGUUAAGGAAUGACUUGCCUUGAAAAUCCUGAUCCAAGAAGAAAGCCCAAAUAUGGUCUAGAUAUGGUGCCUGUGGGGUAUAAAUGUGUCACAAUUCACAUAUAGGAUACUUGGUCCCCAUCUCCACUGGUGUUCCAAGGUCUUGGGAUAAACCAAUCGAAG